GCCUGCCCGGUGAUCAUAAAGAUUAAACGGCUGCGGUACUCUGACCGUGCAAAGGUAGCAUAAUCAUUAGCCUGUUAAUUCCAGGCUGGAAUCAAAGGCAAGACGAAGAGAAGGCUGUCUCUUUCUAUUUUUUUAGAAUUUUACUUUUUGGUGAAGAGGCCAAAAUGAUUUAGUGGGACGAGAAGACCCUAUUGAGCUUUAGCUUUUUCUUAAUAUAUAUAUUAAGAUAAGAGUUUUAGUUGGGGCAACUGUUUUUAAAAUUAAACGAAGAUUAUUGUAUAAUGAAUUAAUUCUAUUUUUGACCUAUAAUAAGUGUUUUGGUAAAAAGAAAAAGUUACCAUAGGGAUAACAGCGUAAUUCUUUUUGAGAGUACAUAUUGACAAAGGAGUUUGCGACCUCGAUGUUGGAUCAAGUUUUCCUGAAGGUGUAGUU
Molecule: ribosomal RNA, 432 nt
Filed under: Asteronyx loveni
Lineage: Eukaryota; Metazoa; Echinodermata; Ophiuroidea; Euryalida; Asteronychidae
Description: partial 16S ribosomal RNA
Rfam family: Bacterial large subunit ribosomal RNA
Source: RNAcentral